ACGGGUGAGUAACACGUAGGCAACCUGCCCCUCAGACUGGGAUAACUACCGGAAACGGUAGCUAAUACCGGAUAAUCUCUUCCUUCUCCUGAAGGAAGAAUGAAAGGCGGAGCAAUCUGCCACUUGGGGAUGGGCCUGCGGCGCAUUAGCUAGUUGGCGGGGUAACGGCCCACCAAGGCGACGAUGCGUAGCCGACCUGAGAGGGUGAACGGCCACACUGGGACUGAGACACGGCCCAGACUCCUACGGGAGGCAGCAGUAGGGAAUCUUCCGCGAUGGGCGCAAGCCUGACGGAGCAACGCCGCGUGAGUGAUGAAGGUUUUCGGAUCGUAAAGCUCUGUUGCCAGGGAAGAACGUCCGGUAGAGUAACUGCUGCCGGAGUGACGGUACCUGAGAAGAAAGCCCCGGCUAACUACGUGCCAGCAGCCGCGGUAAUACGUAGGGGGCAAGCGUUGUCCGGAAUUAUUGGGCGUAAAGCGCGCGCAGGCGGCUAUUUAAGUCUGGUGUUUAAACCUUGGGCUCAACCUGGGGUCGCACUGGAAACUGGGUGGCUUGAGUACAGAAGAGGAAAGUGGAA
RNAcentral lists this ribosomal RNA (577 nucleotides) under uncultured bacterium. RNAcentral describes it as "bacterial SSU rRNA". It matches the Rfam family "Bacterial small subunit ribosomal RNA", at positions 102 to 666 of the family's 1533-position model. The record is from RNAcentral.